AUUGAACGCUGGCGGCAGGCCUAACACAUGCAAGUCGAGCGAGUGGCGGACGGGUGAGUAAUGUAUGGGGACUGCCCGAUAGAGGGGGAUAACUACUGGAAACGGUGGCUAAUACAGCAUACUAUCGGAUAACCCAUAUGGGAUUAGUUAGUAGGUGGGGUAAAGGCUCACCUAGGCGACGAUCACUAUCUGGUCUGAGAGGAUGACAAGCCAAACUGGGAAUGAGACACGGCCCAGACUCCUACGGAGGCAGCAGUGGGGAAUAUUGCACAAUGGGCGCAAGCCUGAUUCAGCCAUGCCGCUUGUAUGAAGAAGGCCUUAGGGUUUUAAAGUACUUUCAGCGGGGAGGCGUUACCCGCAGAAGAAGCACCGGCUAACUCCGUGCCAGCAGCCGCGGUAAUAC
RNAcentral lists this ribosomal RNA (403 nucleotides) under uncultured bacterium. RNAcentral describes it as "partial 16S ribosomal RNA". It matches the Rfam family "Bacterial small subunit ribosomal RNA", at positions 30 to 526 of the family's 1533-position model. The record is from RNAcentral.